GCGGCAUGCCUUACACAUGCAAGUCGAACGGCAGCACGGGAGCAAUCCUGGUGGCGAGUGGCGAACGGGUGAGUAAAGUAUCGGAACGUGCCCAGUCGUGGGGGAUAACGUAGCGAAAGUUACGCUAAUACCGNAUACGAUCUAUGGAUGAAAGCGGGGGAUCGCAAGACCUCGCGUUAAUAGAUGAGCCUAAGUCGGAUUAGCUAGUUGGUGGGGUAAAGGCCUACCAAGGCGACGAUCUGUAGCGGGUCUGAGAGGAUGAUCCGNCACACUGGGACUGAGACACGG
This 288-nucleotide ribosomal RNA is filed under the name uncultured Pseudomonas PS4. RNAcentral describes it as "partial 16S ribosomal RNA". It matches the Rfam family "Bacterial small subunit ribosomal RNA", at positions 39 to 329 of the family's 1533-position model. Lineage: Bacteria; Pseudomonadati; Pseudomonadota; Gammaproteobacteria; Pseudomonadales; Pseudomonadaceae. The record is from RNAcentral.